RNAcentral lists this ribosomal RNA (1314 nucleotides) under metagenome. RNAcentral describes it as "bacterial LSU rRNA". It matches the Rfam family "Bacterial large subunit ribosomal RNA", at positions 1557 to 2857 of the family's 2925-position model. The record is from RNAcentral.
UGAGGCGUGAUGACGAGGAACCACGGUUCCGAAGUGAUUGAUACCAAGCUUCCAGGAAAAGCCACUAAGCUUCAGUCUAGAGUUGACCGUACCGCAAACCGACACAGGUGGGCAGGAUGAAAAUUCUAAGGCGCUUGAGAGAACUCAGGAGAAGGAACUCGGCAAAUUAACACCGUAACUUCGGGAGAAGGUGUGCCCCGGUAGCGUGUAGAGACUUGCUCUCGAAGCGCGAUGGGGUUGCAGUGAAAUGGUGGCUGCGACUGUUUAAUAAAAACACAGCACUCUGCAAACACGAAAGUGGACGUAUAGGGUGUGACGCCUGCCCAGUGCCGGAAGGUUAAGUGAUGGGGUGCAAGCUCUUGAUCGAAGCCCCGGUAAACGGCGGCCGUAACUAUAACGGUCCUAAGGUAGCGAAAUUCCUUGUCGGGUAAGUUCCGACCUGCACGAAUGGCGUAACGAUGGCCACACUGUCUCCUCCUGGGACUCAGCGAAGUUGAAAUGUUUGUGAAGAUGCAAUCUACCCGCGGCUAGACGGAAAGACCCCAUGAACCUUUACUGUAGCUUUGCAUUGGACUUUGAACCGGUUUGUGUAGGAUAGGUGGGAGACUGUGAAGCCGGGACGCUAGUUUCGGUGGAGUCAACCUUGAAAUACCACCCUGAUUUGUUUGAGGUUCUAACCUUGGCCCGUGAAUCCGGAUCGGGGACCGUGCAUGGUAGGCAGUUUGACUGGGGCGGUCUCCUCCCAAAAGGUAACGGAGGAGUACGAAGGUACGCUUAGGGCGGUCGGACAUCGCCCACAAAGUGCAAUGGCAAAAGCGUGCUUGACUGCGAGACCCACAAGUCGAGCAGGUACGAAAGUAGGUCAUAGUGAUCCGGUGGUUCUGUAUGGAAGGGCCAUCGCUCAACGGAUAAAAGGUACUCUGGGGAUAACAGGCUAAUUCCUCCCAGGAGUUCAUAUCGACGGGGGAGUUUGGCACCUCGAUGUCGGCUCAUCACAUCCUGGGGCUGUAGUCGGUCCCAAGGGUAUGGCUGUUCGCCAUUUAAAGUGGUACGCGAGCUGGGUUUAAAACGUCGUGAGACAGUUUGGUCCCUAUCUGCCGUGGGCGCUGGAAAUUUGAAGGGGGCUGCUCCUAGUACGAGAGGACCGGAGUGGACGAACCUCUGGUGUACCGGUUAUGACGCCAGUCGUAUCGCCGGGUAGCUAAGUUCGGAAGAGAUAAACGCUGAAAGCAUCUAAGCGUGAAACUCGCCUUAAGAUAAGAUUUCCCGGAGUCUUGAACUCCCUGAAGGGUCGUCGAAGACCACGACGUUGAU